Long non-coding RNA from Manduca sexta (tobacco hornworm), 650 nucleotides. RefSeq lists it as uncharacterized. The record is from RefSeq and is a predicted model, not a curated record. The transcript is spliced from 4 exons. NCBI's taxonomy places the organism in Eukaryota, Metazoa, Arthropoda, Insecta, Lepidoptera, Sphingidae.
GUUUACAAUUUUCGAAAAGGCUUUAAAUUGCUGUUUUAAAGAAAUCAUUUGUGAAUCUUUGCAUAUUCCAGCCCGUAACUCCGCCGUAAAUGUGUGGCACGAAUACUCAAGGUCAUUUGCUCGGAGCAGGACCUUAAGGGUCCAUAGGCGUGUUAUAUAAACGAGCUGACGACACGAUUUUUUGAAACGCGAACUAUAUUUGCGUUUAUCGCGUGAUAACAGAUUUAAAUAUACGAAAUCAUACCUUAAUGGAGUAAGCAGAGUCGAGAUUACACAGCAUAAAUAGAAAUAACGAGAAGAUAUCACGUACAUUAAGACUUUGGUAAUCUCUAGUCGUAUAAAAAGGAUAAUUUAUUAAAUGACAUAGUUUACACUAAAGGGUCUAAAACGAGCUGUCGUCGUAGCAUUACGUCUCCUCAAUCAAUAUCUAACAAUACAUGGCGACCACGCCAGGAUUUAAACCUGGGAUGUUCAGGGCCGUAGAGAAGAUGCCUUUCUAUAACCGCUAAGUGAUAAUAGAAAAAAUAUAUAGGAGUGACAUGUCCUAUCUAUAAAUUUAUCGCUAAGAUAUGUUAUUGUCAUAAAUAACCGUGUGGUGGACGCCGUCGGCUUCGCACAGCAGCGCCAUAAACUUAGCGAGGCGCGCAAGC